AGCCUUCUGAAUCCCUGCCGAGACUUCAUCAGACACCAGAGCAACAGGACUGAUGAGACUCACAAGAUAAGUGAGGUG
Molecule: non-coding RNA, 78 nt
Organism: Schistosoma mansoni
Lineage: Eukaryota; Metazoa; Platyhelminthes; Trematoda; Strigeidida; Schistosomatidae
Source: Rfam